GGGCUCGGGGGGGGGGGGGGAGCCGCGUCCAGCCUACAGCCGCUGCGUAAUUAUAUUCAUGAAUUAAUUGCAAAGCAGGAAGGAUUACGACAGCCCUCAUGCCCAUGUCCUCUAAAGCCUCAGUGAGUCAGAUGAUGGGGAAAUUUCCUUUGAAAAAAAAAAAAGAAGAAGAAAAAAAAAGGAAAAUAUGGUGGUUAUUGUUGUGCUCUUCUAAGAUAAAUAAAUAAGCGCGUACGAGUCCCCGAACGAGCAGGGCCAGUUUCCAGGAAUUGCAGCACUUCUGCCUUGCUCCCUGCCCCGGGGGCAUGGGGGAGUUCGCGGGAGUUUUUUUUUCCUCUCUCUGUUUUUUCUGCUUUUAUGUAACGGUAGCAAGUCGAGCAGAUGGUGGUGGAAGGUGUGGGGUGUAGGGGAUUUUUUCUUUUCUUCCCCCCCUUUUAUUUCCCCUGCCUUGUUUGUUUGCCUUCAUGCACGGCUGCUCCCACGAGCGCAGGAGCUGAAGCAGGUCUGCGUGCUCGGAGCCGCUCGCCGACGGGAUUUUUCCCCACUGCAGCCGCGGGGCCUGCGCAUCCCGCUCGGAACAGGACCGCGCUGCCUCGGGGGCCGCUGGGUUAUCCCAGCUCCAGCAGUCGGAGGUUUGCCGGGCGCCUCCGGAGAGAGGGUCGGAAGCAGCGCGCCGGCUGCGGCGGGGUCCGCGGCGCGGGGCAGCGGUGUUUUCGGAGGGAUGCCGCCUUCGCCCCGCGCCGGCGCUCGCCCUUAUCAGUAGGAAGCGGCGCCGGGGUGUGGCUGGAUGCAGCAGGGUGACUCCGGCAUCCGGGUGUUUUGGAGCGAGGCUGCGAUUUCGGCCGGUUAUUAAUUGCUUUUUCCACGGUGCUCGGCAGCGAGGUUAUUGCACGUGCGUUUGCAGCCCGGCCCCGCUUUGCCGUGCCGAGGUUUCCGAGCUGCAAAACCGCCGGUCUGGGGGAAGCAGCCGCUUGGGGGGGCCGGGGGCUCCCUGCAACAUCCCGAGGUCGGAGGGGCCCUCGCGGUGCUCCGCCAGCCUCCGUCACCAUCGCCUCGCGGCAGCCGUGGCUCAACAGCCUCCACCAUCCCCUGUUUGCUUUAGGAGAUUUACAGGGCGCUUUACAGCCGCGCGGGCCGCUGCGCCUGGGAUUUUAUAGCACCGUAAAAGAGCAGCGGCCGCUGGGAGGUGGACGCGUGUGUAACGCGGCGCCGGGUCGCUGCCGGCUCCGCGGCGGAUGCAGCGCCUGGCCGCCGCGUUUCGGGGCGGGAGGCUGGGUUUCCUCGUGGAUUUGCAGGCGCGUCUUGGCUCCUGGGGCCGCUUUGGGAUGCGGGAGGCCGUGCCCCAGGCUCGGACCGAAUUUGUAAAAAAGAGAGAAAAACCACACGAUUUCCCUGCGGGAGGAGGAAGAGCACGCGAGGGCCAUGCCGCGUGUGCCGGAGGGAGCACCGCAGCCGGCUGCGUGCCUGAAAGGUGCUCGGAUGCUGCAGCGAGGAGGACGGCGGCGUGAGAUGCGCUGCUAGGGCGCGCGUUUGGCUGCGGGGCUCCCGCAGCGGCAGCAGGUCCCAUCUCCUGGUCGGGGUCGGGAGCUCGGGCUGCUUCAGUGCAGGGAUUCGGUCUCUAGGCUCUUCCUCCGGCCUCGGAUCGAUGCCGGAGAAGCCGUGCGCUCAGAAUCUCUGCUUUGGUGCAGCGGGUGCAGCUUUCCUGCCGGACAGGCCCGAAGCGCGCGGGCAGCAUCCCUGCCUGCAGGCUGCCUUGCUCUCGCCCGGCCGCGCGCACGCUGCGGGUGGAAGGGAUUUACCCGCGGUGUCACGGAGCCGAGGGCAGCGGCGUGCGUAAAGGAGCGUUUGCUGCGCUAAGCCUGCCCUGUUCCCCAUUGCCCCUCCCUAAGUCGGCCUCCUCCUCUGUACCCCCUCGCCGUGGUGCUCGGGAGAGCUUUCUGGGUGCAAAUCCGUGUGCAAAGGGCUCACUCUCGGGUGCAGCUCGUGCAGCUGCUGCAGCCCAGCUCUGGUGCCAGAUUUCGCCGAGCCGAAGGGGAACCCGACCUGGGCGCCUGCACAGCGGGGCGCAUCUGCCUGCGCGGCACCCGGUGCCGGAUGCUUCCCGGCCGGGUGCGAUGCGGAGCAGCGGGAGCAGGGCCAGGAGCUGCCUCGCUGCUCCACGGCUGCAUCCGAUACUCUCGCACGGCUCCAGCCUGUCGCUGCUGCCCCGGCUCGCAGCCACGCCAUGCACCAUCCCUUCGCUCCGGGUGGGAGAAGACAGGGAUUGCAGCGGGAGCUCGGCCCACAGCCGGCACGGGGCUCGGCCGGGAUGCUGAGCAGGGGCCGGGGCCCCCGGGGCAAGGCGAGUCGCGGGCCGCCCCGUGUCCCCGGCGUGUUUAUUAUUGGGUCCGGGCGACAGCUGCGGCUCCCGCGCGGGGCGGCCGCCGGCCCCGCCACCGUUACAUGAGAUCCAGCUCCUGAGACGGCUCCUGGCCGCGGGCUCCGGGCUGGAUGCUGCGUAUUUAUAAAUAUUACCUCCUUGCAGCAGCACGGGGCCGCUGCAAAAACAGGCGGCGCGGCGGGAGGAGGGCGGCGCGGGAGCCCGCCGGUGCCGGGGGGCUGUGCGGGGAGGCGGUGGGCACCGGCGCUGAGCAUCUCCCGGGACCCUGGUCCUGCUAAAUCCCAGCGCCUCGCGCCUGCCCCGCAUGCACGCCGUGCUGGGGUCGAGGACAGCGCUGCGCUCCCGCUUUCCCUUACUUAUGCAAUUAUUAAAAAAAUAAUAAAAUGCUGAAGCAGCCGAGUUGGCUGGAGCCCGGGGGCAGCUGCCAGAGCGGGUUCACUGGGCCGCCCCGGCUCUUCGGCUGCGGGCGCUCUUUGCCGAGGUGACCGAGGCGCGUCGUGGCUGUCCCCGGGGCCGAGGCCUCUCCCAAGGUCACGGCGCUCUUCUCCCCGCUGCGCGGCUGCGCCGAUACGGUGCUGAUUAAUGGCUCGGCCCGGGGCCAGGCCGGGCUUCGGCAGCCGCCCGCCCGGGCCCCCGCUCCGCCGUUGGCUUCUCCGCGCCCGGCAGCGGCCUCCUGCCUGUUAACACUUUUAUUUUUAAUUGCCUCUCCGCGGGGGCGCGAGGGGGGCGGGCAGGGGACGGGAGCUUUUGGUCCUGGGCUGUGAAUUCCCGCGCGCCCCCGCUCCCGGCGAUGCCGCCAGAACCGGGGCGGCUUUUUUCAUCGAUUCUGGUUAUUCUGCCCCAAGGGUGAUGCGGGGCCAGGGGAGACGGAGGCGCUCGGCCCCGGCUCUUUGGAGGCUUUUGGCUCUCCCGGCGUGCCGGGAUGGAGGAUUUUCCCUCUGCGGCAUCCCUCCCUGGCACCGCGGUUUCGGGGUCCCGCCGUGGGGCGAGAUGUGCCUCCCGCCCAAAGCGUUAAUGUUUUUACGGCGCUAAAUACCUGGGCCGCUUCCAAGAGCGGCAUUUAACGCUUGGAAGGGAAAACAUUUGGCCUCUGACCCAAGCGCCUGUUAACAGCGCCGCGGUCCACGUUGCUGAGAUGCCGGGGCUAAAAACAGUCCCCGGGACUCCGCCGCCCAUUGGCUUCGUCAACCGACUCCCGCGCCGGGUCGCCAAGAGCCUCCGGCCGCGGCGCCGGACCCCUGCCCCGAGCGAGCCGGCGGCGGGCCGAAGGUCUCCGAGGAGGGAGGUCCGUGUGGCGGGGCGGGGGGCUGCUGGGGCGGGGGGCGAGGAGGAGGAGGAGCGGCCUUCCUCCUGCCCGGGGCUGGCAUCGCUGGAGCCCGGGCACCGCGGGCGUGCCGGCACGGUGUAAACCGCCCUGCUGAGCCGGGUGCAUGCCUGCAUCGGGCUGCGGGGACGGGGAUGGGGAUCAUUCCCACCCCAGCGAAGGGAUCGAAUCCCGGCGGAUCCCAGCCGCCGGAGGCAGGUGGGCGCCGGAGCCCGAGCUUUGCUUCUCCCUUGCUUUUCGGGCAGCGCCGCUUUGGCCAGGGGCUCUCCCGCUCGCUGGCAGCCGGGCGAGGACCCGCCGUGUCUCCUCCUCGCCUUGAGCCUGAGGAUGCGGCUCGGGCACCCCGCAGUGCCAGGGGAGCCCCCCGGGCCCUGCCUGCUGCUUCGGCAGGGCCGCGGGCUCGCGAUGCCGUUCACACCAUCCCGGCGAAAUGGAGGGUGCAAACGCGACCUGGAAGCGGUGCCUGUCGGGCCGGGAGCUGCGUUAACACCAGUUUCGCUGGCGCAGGGGCGAGUCUGGGAGAGCCGGGUGCCCCUUGCCUUUCCCCCGAGCUCUGCCGGGAACGAAACAGGCCCUCGGUGUCCCGUGCCGCUAUCUAGACCCCGUGCACCCGGGCGAUAUGCACCCCGGCGCCGUGCACCCAGACCCUGUGCACCCCGACCUCGUGCACCCCAACCUGCUGCUGCAUGAAAGAGCUACAGAAAGGCGGCAGCUGGCCGGGGCGCCUGGCUCCCGCGGGCGCUCGCGGCCCGGGCGCGGAGGGGAGAUGGCGCGAGGCCGCGGCCGCGCACAAGGCCGGGUGUGUGUCGCCGGCGCCAGCUGCCCCGGGCAGCGCACACAGGCGUCCUUGUGGGCCCCGCCAUCCCGGCGGGUGCCAGCCGGCGUGGAGACGUCCCCGGCGUGCCGGGAGCCCCGGCGCGUUUGCAGGGGUCUCCCGCGAGUCCGGGUGCUGCUGGCCCGGCCGGGAUGCGGGGGACGCCGUUCCCACGGGGAUGCGAUGGGGCCGACCCGGGCGCCGUUCACGGGGGUCCAGCACCCUGGGGAAGCCGCUGGCGGGUGGUGCCUUAUUUUUGUCACUAUUUCUCAUGUUUCUCAGCUCGAUUAGUAAUUCCUCCGCGGCCGCGAGAGGAGCGAGCGGGUCUGGAGGCUUUUUGCAACUUCCUCCCCCCGCGCCCUGGGCGGCUGGCGCCGCGGUUUGCUGCUGCCCUUCGCACCGUUUCGGGGGUGCUGCGGCCGGGGGGGUCUCGGGGAGCCCCAGCCUGGUUUGGGCGUCCUCGGCCAGGCGCUCGGGGGAGGGGGGGGUCGCGCCGCCCCCCGCUUGCUGCGUCUUGCCCCCCCAGCGUGGCGUCUGAAAAAAGGAAAAAACCCAGAAAAAACGAGGAAGGAAGGCUUGGCGGGUGUUUGCUGCUCGUACCAAGAAGUGGGGGUAUUUUCACUUCUUCCUUCGCCGUUUCCUUUUCUUAGCCCUCGUGUUUAUCAAUGAAGCGGCACGGCGCGGGGGCGGGCGCCGGGCGCAGCCCCCUCCCCAGCCCUGCCGGGCACCGGGGGCUCCGCGCAGACCCCCCCGGGCUCCUCUUUGAAGGAUGCGGCCUCGCCGGGAGCUCCCGGCCCGCGGUGCCGCCUUGGGCCCCUCCAGCCUCCCGGAGGCGGGCGGCUCUUUGGUGGGAUGAGUUUGGGGGUUCUCAGCGCCGGCGCGCAGGGGAGGAGAGCGAUCCCCGGCUCCCGGCGCCGUGCUCCUCCCGGAGCUUCCCCAGAGAGUAACGCGAUCCCGCCGGGCCCGCUCUGCGCGGGCUAUAUCUGGCGACGGGCUCAUGGCAGGUGUUAUUUUUAACCCCGCUUUUUUAGCUUCCUUAGCUCCGCUUGCAGAGCACACCUGGGCCCGGAGGCGGCGGGUGCCGCGGGCCCGGCGCUGUGAGCGGGGCCGGCGCUCGCCUGCCGUUCCCGCGGUAUAAAUAACUCCGGGGGCACAGCUUGUCUGUUUUUUUCCCUUCCCUUUUGGCUGUCCCGGGCCGCGCCGGCUCGCCGGAGCGAUAAUUAGCGUGUGAGCAAGCCCAGCCGCGGCAGCGCGAAGGCGCCGGGUUGCUGAGCAGCGCCCGGGUGGCGCUUAGAAAAUACCGGCGGUUGCCAAGCAGCUGCCCCGGCCGCCCCGCCGCGGAUUUACGGGCCCCGGCCGGGGUGCGGGGGGGUCUGGUUGGGCUCGGCGUGACAUAACCCCCCCGGAGGGAAAGCAAGAAAGGGCCCAGAUGAGCCGCGAUGCCGGGCGGCUGGGGAGGCGUCUUGCAAGGAGCCGAAUUCGGCGGUGCCUCGGCGUGCCGGGCGGCUUUGCGGCGGUUUGCGACCGGCCCGGGGUGCUGCCGGCUCCUCUUCUGCCUUGCGGUCUUGCUCUGUCUGUGUGGUUGUCAAGGGAAAUAAGUAUAAAAAAAAGGGAAAAAAGGGAAGGAAAAAAAAAGGUCUGGCUGAGGGUUGCACCCGAAUCUUUUGCAGAUUGCACUGGGAAUCGAGCUUUUCCCGUGGGCUGGGGCUGGCAGGCGUCGGAGGUACCUGCUGCGGCACCUCCUGCCCGUCCCUUCGGCCGGGCUUCGGGGAGCCCGGUGCCACCCUGGGGUGCCUUCGAGCACCCAGUCCUCGGAGUUAGGCACGGCAGAGCUGCUCCCCGUCCUCCCAGCGCCCCGCUCCGCGCUCUCCCGGCAGGAAAGGUGGUGUCCGAGCCAAAGGAUUGCAGGGCUCUGCCCGAGCCAUGGUGCUGCGGACAUCGCUUCUGCCCCCGGCCCGCGAGGCAGCUCACGGGGACGUGUCCCUCCUCGGGGGGACGUGUCCCUGCGGUGGGACGUGUCCUUCCUCGGGGGGACGCCCAGCCGGGGUCCCCGCCGGCGCUUCCCGCCGUCCUCCCCUCCGCCGGGGCUGAGUCAGAGCGAAAGCAGAAGCUGCUCGGCGUUACCGGGGGGGGGGGGGAAGCCAAGCAGAACCGGCCGGGUUAUUUUAAACCUGACCUAAUUUCCCCCUUUCCUGCUUGCUCGCUGGGGGGCCCGGCCUCUCCCCAGCCCCGUCCUCACCCUCGGCAGCUCCCGGCGCAGGUGAUUUGCUCAGGAAUUUCCUGGGGGGACGCGGCAGCGCUCAAACCCGCCGAAGAGGGGGGAAGCCCCUGGCGUGGGACGCGGGGCGGGGGGCAGCCGUGCCCACGGUGGGGAUGCCCCGUGGGUGCUGCCAGCGGGGGGGCCCUCUUUGGUUUCCUGCUCCCACGCUUCCCGGCCGCCGCGUUGCUCUCCCGGGAAGCCCCAGGCCGGGGCGCCGAUUCGGGUGCCGCCCGCUGCCGGAGCCCUCCCCGGCCGCCUGCUCCUCGUCAGGCCCGUGGUUUAGGGCCGCGGGUGGCUCCCGGCUCGGAAAUGGGGGGAUCAUCCUGAAGGUCCCCGCACGUGGCGUGAGAUCCCCUCCCGGCCGUCCCCUUCCCCCUUUUGCUGGAGCAUCCCAGGAGCUGGGCUCCCCCGGGAGCCGUGCGGGCUCCCUGCCUGCCUGCGCGGCGUUCCCGAGCCGGAGGCAGCGUGGGGAUGGCUCCUUCCAUCUCCCGGCUGCUCUUGGGCGCUUUCCCUCUUGCCCCGCGCGGGGAGUUUGGGGUUACGGCAUCCCCCGAGUCAUGAGUUGUGAUUUAUCCCCCUUCAGCCUCCUUGGACGGGUCCCCGGCUGCGCCCCGGCGUCUCUGCAUCCCCGCUGCCUCCGCCUGGGGCUUCUCUUCCUCGAGGCCUCGUCUCCAGCGGCUCCGGCACCUUCCCGCCCGCACCCGCGGCUCCCUCCCCAGGGCCCUUGGCCAGGGCCAUCUGAACGAACCGCUGUUCGAUCAUGGUCCCCUUUGGAUGGGCCACUGUGUCUAAUUAAUUACCAUCCUCUCGCCGCUCAAUCGCUGGCUCUUGAUCCAUGUAAUCGUAUUUCUGUCCGAGUCGGCUUGAUUUAAUUCCCCCCUUAGGGUAUUUUGUGGCCCCGUGUAUCAGAUGCCUCGCUGCAACCCCGGCGUGCUCUAGCCCCCAGCUCCCCUUCGCCUGCAAUCGCGCGUUGUGUUUGAGUAGCGAAGCCCUCCAGGUUCGUCGGGUUACGUUACUGCUGAGUAAACCCGGGGUGUUUGGCUUGCGCGUGUCCCCCUUGCCAUGUUUGCUCGGUGUCUUCUGCCCGCGGCGGCGGCGGGCCGGCUGGCGAGGAGGGCGGGUGCUGCCCGCUCUUUGCCCUGCCUGCAAAUGGUCCCGCUUUUACCAGCCGCUGGAGGGUCCCUGGAAGCGCAGCGCGGGAUGCUCGGGGAUGCACGGGGAUGCUCGGGGAUGCUUGGGGAUGCUUGGGGAUGCACGGUCCAAAGCAGUGCAGGAGCAUCGCAGCAUUUGCAAACUGGGGCUCCCGGUUUCCAUCCCUGAUGCUGGGCAAAGGCUCCUGCAUUCCUGCCCCAGCUCCUCACCGGCUUUGCCGUGUCCCCGGGGGAAGCUACUUUCCCUCUCUCCUCACCGGCAAAACUGGCUCCAGGGCCCCGGUGGGUUCCUCCUACACCGGGCCCGGGGGGUGCAUUAUUGCCCGGGGCUUCACGCUCCCAAGAUCCCAGGGGAGGCAGCUCCCGCCGGGGUCCCUGCUCCAGCGCGGGUGGCUCCCCGCGUCCCCGCUCGCCCUCGGCCGCCGCCGUCCCCUUGGCGCGGGGAACAAGGGCCCCGUCUGUGCCAGCGGCGUGGCCUCGCGCGGCCUCUCCCCCACCUCCGCGCUCGCGUGCGGGCCGCGCACAGGGGCCGCGUUGUUCGCUGCGUGCCGGCGUUUCGCCCCGCGCACGGGCUCCCUCGCUCCGCUUCCGCCUCCGUGCCCAGCAGUGGCGGCCGAAGGGUUAAGCGCUGUCUCCUUGCAUGGACCUUCCUCUUCUUCCUGGUCUUCCCUCGCUUUCUGUUUCUCUUUCGGGUGCUCCCAGUGUCCUGCUUUUCCCUCUCUCUUGCUUUGCUCCUGCAUUCGGAAAUCGGAAGCACGGAGCAAGUGCCGGCGGAGCUCGGCAGCGCGUGAGUCCCGGGCUCGCCGGUGCAAGAAUCGCCUCCGUGCCUGGCGGGCGGCCGCCUCUCGCCCCCCCGGGGCACCAUGGCGU
Molecule: RNA transcript, 8799 nt
Organism: Dromaius novaehollandiae (emu)
Lineage: Eukaryota; Metazoa; Chordata; Aves; Casuariiformes; Dromaiidae
Gene: TFEB
Gene name: transcription factor EB
Exons: 2
Source: RefSeq, a predicted model, not a curated record